GAUGAACGCUGGCGGCGUGCCUAAUACAUGCAAGUCGAACGGACAGACCCGGCUCUUGCUGGGCUGUCGUUUGCGGCAAACGGGUGUAAAACACGUGUAACCCCUCCCUGUCUUUCUGGGAUAACUUCGGAAAACGGGCGCUAAUCCCGUAUGAGCUCCUGCUCCACAUUGGGGGAUGGUAAAAUUCGGUGUUUCGGGCGGUUAUCGCUGGAUCCCCGGCUCAUUGGCUGGUAGGUGGGUUAGCGGGUUACGAAGGCAAUGAUGGGUGGGCGGCCUGAGAGGGUGACCGGCGACAUGGGGACUGAGAUACGGCCCAGACUCCUAUGGGAGGCAGCAGUGGAGAAUAUUGCGCAAUGGGCGGAAGCCUGAUGCAGCGACGCCGCGUGCGGGAUGACGGCCUACGGGUUGUAAACCGCUUUCGCCUGUGACGAGGCGUGAGUGACGGUAAUGGGUAAAGAAGCACCGGCUAACUACGUG
Molecule: ribosomal RNA, 477 nt
Filed under: uncultured bacterium
Lineage: Bacteria
Description: partial 16S ribosomal RNA
Rfam family: Bacterial small subunit ribosomal RNA
Source: RNAcentral